RNAcentral lists this ribosomal RNA (253 nucleotides) under uncultured bacterium. RNAcentral's name for it is "partial 16S ribosomal RNA". It matches the Rfam family "Bacterial small subunit ribosomal RNA", at positions 524 to 776 of the family's 1533-position model. The record is from RNAcentral.
UACGUAGGGCGCAAGCGUUGUCCGGAAUUAUUGGGCGUAAAGAGAUCGUAGGCGGCUUGUCACGUCGAUUGUGAAAGCCCGAGGCUUAACCUCGGGUCUGCAGUCGAUACGGGCUAGCUAGAGUGUGGUAGGGGAGAUCGGAAUUCCUGGUGUAGCGGUGAAAUGCGCAGAUAUCAGGAGGAACACCGGUGGCGAAGGCGGAUCUCUGGGCCAUUACUGACGCUGAGGAGCGAAAGCGUGGGGAGCGAACAGG